Molecule: long non-coding RNA, 570 nt
Filed under: Salvia miltiorrhiza (redroot sage)
Lineage: Eukaryota; Viridiplantae; Streptophyta; Magnoliopsida; Lamiales; Lamiaceae
Description: long non-coding RNA (SMIL_LNC000449)
Source: RNAcentral
UCAUCUCUCUUCUCUCACUCCCUCUGUCACACACCCACACACACACAUGCAUAGCGAGUAGCCGCAGCAGUUACGGUCAACGCCGCUCCGCCGCUGACUAGCAGCAAGUAGCCGCCACCGCCUGUUCAGGUAACCUUAGCGCUCUCUCACUCUCUCUCUCUCUCUCUUCUUUUUCUUUUUCUCACUUCCCCUUUUCAAGAAAAAUCUUCUUUUUUUUGUUCUUUUUGGAUUUUGGCUUGAAUUAGAGGAUAAGGAAUUGGAAAAUGAAAAACAAAAAAAAAAAAAAUCUUCUCUAACUGUAAUCACCAAUUCCUUGGAUUUGUUGAAAUUUGUGAAGAAGUAUGGUGGAAUUAAGAGGGGAUCUGCUAGUUCAAGUAGUGGAAAAUGAGCAGAGCGGUAAGUGAGGAAUGUCUCACCAGUUUCAAAGGCGGCGGCGGUUUUCAGAGAGAACAAAGGAGAGGGCGCCAUUGCCCGGUCUUCAAUAGCGGUGGCGGCAAUCUGUGAUGGGAGAGACUAGGGCUCGGUUUCUGUUUUCAUUUGGGCAUGUGUGAAUCCAUCUUGAGUACGGAG